UCAGUUCGGCUGGAUCGGUGACAGGUGCUGCAUGGCUGUCGUCAGCUCGUGUCGUGAGAUGUUGGGUUAAGUCCCGCAACGAGCGCAACCCUUGUCCUUAGUUGCCAGCAUUCAGUUGGGCACUCUAAGGAGACUGCCGGUGUCAAACCGGAGGAAGGUGGGGAUGACGUCAAGUCCUCAUGGCCCUUAUGUCCAGGGCUACACACGUGCUACAAUGGCCGGUACAAAGGGGCGCAAGACCGCGAGGUGGAGCAAAUCCCAAAAAACCGGUCUCAGUUCGGAUUGGAGUCUGCAACUCGACUCCAUGAAGUUGGAAUCGCUAGUAAUCGCGUAUCAGCAUGACGCGGUGAAUACGUUCCCGGGCCUU
RNAcentral lists this ribosomal RNA (367 nucleotides) under uncultured Desulfuromonas sp. RNAcentral's name for it is "bacterial SSU rRNA". It matches the Rfam family "Bacterial small subunit ribosomal RNA", at positions 1014 to 1382 of the family's 1533-position model. Lineage: Bacteria; Pseudomonadati; Thermodesulfobacteriota; Desulfuromonadia; Desulfuromonadales; Desulfuromonadaceae. The record is from RNAcentral.